Molecule: ribosomal RNA, 641 nt
Filed under: Hepatozoon canis
Lineage: Eukaryota; Apicomplexa; Hepatozoidae
Description: bacterial SSU rRNA
Rfam family: Eukaryotic small subunit ribosomal RNA
Source: RNAcentral
AGAGGAACGCAUUUAUUAGAUAAAAAGCCAAUGCAUGCUUUUACAGUAUGGAAAUUGGUGAUUUAUAAUAACUUAGCAAAUCGCAAAGUGAAAACAGGCGAUAAAUCAUUCAAGUUUCUGACCUAUCAGCUUUCGACGGUAUGGUAUUGGCUUACCGUGGCAGUGACGGUUAACGGGGGAUUAGGGUUCGAUUCCGGAGAGGGAGCCUGAGAAACGGCUACCACAUCUAAGGAAGGCAGCAGGCGCGCAAAUUACCCAAUUCUAACAGUUUGAGAGAGGUAGUAACAAGAAAUAACAAUACAAGGCAAUUAAAAUGCUUUGUAAUUGGAAUGAUAGAAAUUUAAACCCUUUUUAAAGUAUCAAUUGGAGGGCAAGUCUGGUGCCAGCAGCCGCGGUAAUUCCAGCUCCAAUAGCGUAUAUUAAAAUUGUUGCAGUUAAAAAGCUCGUAGUUGAAGUUCUGCUAAAAGUAACCGGUCUGCUUUUAAUAAAAGUGGUAUCUUGGUGUGUAUUUAGCAAUGAUGUCCUUUGAAGUGUUUUUUACUUUAUUGUAAUAAAGCAUAUUCAGGACUUUUACUUUGAGAAAAUUAGAGUGUUUCUAGCAGGCCGACGCUUUGAAUACUGCAGCAUGGAAUAAAUAAGAA